GAUGAACGCUGGCGGCGUGCUUAACACAUGCAAGUCGAACGAAGCACCUUGAUUUGAUUCUUCGGAUGAAGAUCUUGGUGACUGAGUGGCGGACAGGUGAGUAACGCGUGGGUAACCUGCCUCAUACAGGGGGAUAACAGUUAGAAAUGACUGCUAAUACCGCAUAAGACCACAGUACCGCAUGGUACAGGGGUAAAAACUCCGGUGGUAUGAGAUGGACCCGCGUCUGAUUAGGUAGUUGGUGGGGUAACGGCCUACCAAGCCGACGAUCAGUAGCCGACCUGAGAGGGUGACCGGCCACAUUGGGACUGAGACACGGCCCAAACUCCUACGGGAGGCAGCAGUGGGGAAUAUUGCACAAUGGGGGAAACCUUGAUGCAGCGACGCCGCGUGAGCGAUGAAGUAUUUCGGUAUGUAAAGCUCUAUCAGCAGGGAAGAAAAUGACGGUACCUGACUAAGAAGCACCGGCUAAAUACGUGCCAGCAGCCGCAGUAA
RNAcentral lists this ribosomal RNA (495 nucleotides) under uncultured bacterium. RNAcentral describes it as "partial 16S ribosomal RNA". It matches the Rfam family "Bacterial small subunit ribosomal RNA", at positions 28 to 523 of the family's 1533-position model. The record is from RNAcentral.